RNAcentral lists this ribosomal RNA (1091 nucleotides) under Aphanomyces astaci. RNAcentral's name for it is "eukaryotic LSU rRNA". It matches the Rfam family "Eukaryotic large subunit ribosomal RNA", at positions 76 to 1050 of the family's 3401-position model. The record is from RNAcentral. Lineage: Eukaryota; Oomycota; Saprolegniomycetes; Saprolegniales; Verrucalvaceae.
UCCCUCAGUAACGGCGAGUGAAGCGGGAAGAGCUCAAGCUUAAAAUCUCCACAUUUGUGGCGAAUUGUAGUCUAUUGAGGCUGUUGUCAGCACAGCGACUUGGGACAAGUCCCUUGGAAGAGGGCAGCAUGGAGGGUGAUACUCCCGUCUCUGCUCAAGUUGUCUGUGUGUACGAUACGCUUUCUUUGAGUCGAGUUGUUUGGGAAUACAGCUCAAAGUAGGUGGUAAAUUCCAUCUAAAGCUAAAUAUUGGUGCGAGACCGAUAGCGAACAAGUACCGUGAGGGAAAGAUGAAAAGAACUUUGAAAAGAGAGUUAAAGAGUACCUGAAACUGUUGAAAGGGAACCGUAUCGUUUCUAGUGUUUAUCCUAUGCAUAUUUCAUUGGCGGUUGCAAAAUUGCUGGUGCCCUGUGCAUGGGUGUGACGUCAGAGUCAGUUUAAAUUGCGGGAGAUGGGUAGGGAGGAGGUGCGUCACUUCGGUGAAAGUUACAGCUCUCUGCUUAGUAGCCGUGGUUAAGACUGAGGUGCCUACAACAUGCUUUGGGGUCUGCUGUUGUCUCGUUUUAGUGAUUGUCUGGAUAGCUUGCUAUGCUGGUGAUUAGUGAGGCGAUUGAUAAUAGUAGUAACCUCUGCUGUUCGGGACUCUGGCGAAAUGGAGCGAUACGACCCGUCUUGAAACACGGACCAAGGAGUCUAACAUGUGUGCAAGUAUUAGGGUGUGGAAACCCAAAUGCGCAAUGAAAGUAAAGGACACAUUAGUGUCUGUGGUAGGAAGGAGCUGUAAUGGUUCUGGCACUAUCGACCGAUCAUGAACCUCCGGGUGAAAGAUUUGAGUAUGAGCAUAUAUGUUGGUACCCGAAAGAUGGUGAACUAUGCCUGAAUAGGGUGAAGCCAGGGGAAACUCUGGUGGAAGCUCGUAGCGAUUCUGACGUGCAAAUCGAUCGUCAAAUUUAGGUAUAGGGGCGAAAGACUAAUCGAACCAUCUAGUAGCUGGUUCCCUCCGAAAUUUCCCUCAGGAUAGCAGCAACUUUUUACGAUAGUUUUAUGAGGUAAAGCGAAUGAUUAGAGGCCUCGGGGAAGAAACUUCCUCGA